This 1540-nucleotide ribosomal RNA is filed under the name Staphylococcus aureus. Its description in RNAcentral is "16S ribosomal RNA". It matches the Rfam family "Bacterial small subunit ribosomal RNA". Lineage: Bacteria; Bacillati; Bacillota; Bacilli; Caryophanales; Staphylococcaceae. The record is from RNAcentral.
AGAGUUUGAUCCUGGCUCAGGAUGAACGCUGGCGGCGUGCCUAAUACAUGCAAGUCGAGCGAACGGACGAGAAGCUUGCUUCUCUGAUGUUAGCGGCGGACGGGUGAGUAACACGUGGAUAACCUACCUAUAAGACUGGGAUAACUUCGGGAAACCGGAGCUAAUACCGGAUAAUAUUUUGAACCGCAUGGUUCAAAAGUGAAAGACGGUCUUGCUGUCACUUAUAGAUGGAUCCGCGCUGCAUUAGCUAGUUGGUAAGGUAACGGCUUACCAAGGCAACGAUGCAUAGCCGACCUGAGAGGGUGAUCGGCCACACUGGAACUGAGACACGGUCCAGACUCCUACGGGAGGCAGCAGUAGGGAAUCUUCCGCAAUGGGCGAAAGCCUGACGGAGCAACGCCGCGUGAGUGAUGAAGGUCUUCGGAUCGUAAAACUCUGUUAUUAGGGAAGAACAUAUGUGUAAGUAACUGUGCACAUCUUGACGGUACCUAAUCAGAAAGCCACGGCUAACUACGUGCCAGCAGCCGCGGUAAUACGUAGGUGGCAAGCGUUAUCCGGAAUUAUUGGGCGUAAAGCGCGCGUAGGCGGUUUUUUAAGUCUGAUGUGAAAGCCCACGGCUCAACCGUGGAGGGUCAUUGGAAACUGGAAAACUUGAGUGCAGAAGAGGAAAGUGGAAUUCCAUGUGUAGCGGUGAAAUGCGCAGAGAUAUGGAGGAACACCAGUGGCGAAGGCGACUUUCUGGGCUGUAACUGACGCUGAUGUGCGAAAGCGUGGGGAUCAAACAGGAUUAGAUACCCUGGUAGUCCACGCCGUAAACGAUGAGUGCUAAGUGUUAGGGGGUUUCCGCCCCUUAGUGCUGCAGCUAACGCAUUAAGCACUCCGCCUGGGGAGUACGACCGCAAGGUUGAAACUCAAAGGAAUUGACGGGGACCCGCACAAGCGGUGGAGCAUGUGGUUUAAUUCGAAGCAACGCGAAGAACCUUACCAAAUCUUGACAUCCUUUGACAACUCUAGAGAUAGAGCCUUCCCCUUCGGGGGACAAAGUGACAGGUGGUGCAUGGUUGUCGUCAGCUCGUGUCGUGAGAUGUUGGGUUAAGUCCCGCAACGAGCGCAACCCUUAAGCUUAGUUGCCAUCAUUAAGUUGGGCACUCUAAGUUGACUGCCGGUGACAAACCGGAGGAAGGUGGGGAUGACGUCAAAUCAUCAUGCCCCUUAUGAUUUGGGCUACACACGUGCUACAAUGGACAAUACAAAGGGCAGCGAAACCGCGAGGUCAAGCAAAUCCCAUAAAGUUGUUCUCAGUUCGGAUUGUAGUCUGCAACUCGACUACAUGAAGCUGGAAUCGCUAGUAAUCGUAGAUCAGCAUGCUACGGUGAAUACGUUCCCGGGUCUUGUACACACCGCCCGUCACACCACGAGAGUUUGUAACACCCGAAGCCGGUGGAGUAACCUUUUAGGAGCUAGCCGUCGAAGGUGGGACAAAUGAUUGGGGUGAAGUCGUAACAAGGUAGCCGUAUCGGAAGGUGCGGCUGGAUCACCU